Molecule: unclassified non-coding RNA, 138 nt
Filed under: uncultured Cylindrosympodium
Lineage: Eukaryota; Fungi; Ascomycota; Dothideomycetes; Venturiales; Venturiaceae
Description: sequence contains ITS2
Source: RNAcentral
CAACCCUCAAGCUUCGCUUGGUGAUGGGGACCGCCCUGGGGCGGCCCCGAAACACGUGGGCGCCGACGGCCGGCCCUGAGCGUAGCAAAACCCUCGCUCGGGACUCCGGUUGGCGGUCGCCCCGAUCCAAACUCACAA